AUGUUCUAUCCACUGUACCACCUAGUUUCCAGUGUCACUGAAGAAUUUAAAAUUGGGGUUCUAAAGGACAAUGGAAAGACACAUGGCACUGCCACAAGAGCACAUAAUAAAAAAAAGUUCCUGACCUCAAGGAGUCUACAAUUUGAAAGAUCAUCAAAAUACUAUUUGCCACUGCUUGGACAGCUCCUACCAGUCUCCCAUCCAGGAUCCUGGAGCACAAACCCUCAGCCAUUUGGAGAAAUUAAAAGCUUCUAUGCUCACAAUACUCCUGGACAAAAGGAACUGAUACAGGAUAAAAUAAGCAGAACCAGGAAAAAUUGUACAAUGAUUAAAUGUGGAAACUUGCUUUUUCUCAACAAUGCAAUGAUCUGGGACAAUCCUGAAAGAACUGUUAGAGUUGGAUGAAUGUGGAUGAAAGCAUACUAUUAUUCACAUCAGUGUACUUAUGGUUAUAUUUUGGAAUUUUUCUUCUGUCUUAGUGUGAUUUUACAACAAUGAGCGAUAUUGAAAUAUGCUUUGCAUGAUAAUAAAUAUAAAAAAUUUAAAAAUAGUUAAAAUAUU
This 561-nucleotide long non-coding RNA is filed under the name Monodelphis domestica (gray short-tailed opossum). RNAcentral's name for it is "lncRNA (ENSMODG00000033482.2)". Lineage: Eukaryota; Metazoa; Chordata; Mammalia; Didelphimorphia; Didelphidae. The record is from RNAcentral.